RNAcentral lists this ribosomal RNA (235 nucleotides) under uncultured Actinomycetales bacterium. RNAcentral's name for it is "partial 16S ribosomal RNA". It matches the Rfam family "Bacterial small subunit ribosomal RNA", at positions 96 to 334 of the family's 1533-position model. The record is from RNAcentral. Lineage: Bacteria; Bacillati; Actinomycetota; Actinomycetes; Actinomycetales.
UGGCGAACGGGUGAGUAACGCGUGGGUGAUCUGCCCUGCACUUCGGGAUAAGCUUGGGAAACUGGGUCUAAUACCGGAUAGGACCAUCGUUUAGUGUCGGUGGUGGGAAGUUUUUUCGGUGUGGGAUGAGCUCGCGGCCUAUCAGCUUGUUGGUGGGGUAAUGGCCUACCAAGGCGUCGACGAGUAGCCGGCCUGAGAGGGUGUACGGCCACAUUGGGACUGAGAUACGGCCCAG